This 400-nucleotide ribosomal RNA is filed under the name uncultured bacterium. Its description in RNAcentral is "bacterial SSU rRNA". It matches the Rfam family "Bacterial small subunit ribosomal RNA", at positions 28 to 430 of the family's 1533-position model. The record is from RNAcentral.
GACGAACGCUGGCGGCGUGCUUAACACAUGCAAGUCGAACGAUGAUGCCAGCUUGCUGGUGGAUUAGUGGCGAACGGGUGAGUAACACGUGGGUGAUCUGCCCCAAACUUUGGGAUAAGCCUGGGAAACUGGGUCUAAUACAGGAUAGUACCUUCCCUUGCAUGGGGGUUGGUGGAAAGCUCCGGCGGUUUGGGAUGGGCCCGCGGCCUAUCAGCUUGUUGGUGGGGUAAUGGCCUACCAAGGCGACGACGGGUAGCCGGCCUGAGAGGGCGACCGGCCACACUGGGACUGAGACACGGCCCAGACUCCUACGGGAGGCAGCAGUGAGGAAUCUUCCACAAUGGACGAAAGUCUGAUGGAGCAACUCCGCGUGCAGGAUGGAGGCCUUCGGGUCGUAAAC